This 417-nucleotide small RNA is filed under the name uncultured Glomus. RNAcentral's name for it is "SSU rRNA". It matches the Rfam family "Eukaryotic small subunit ribosomal RNA", at positions 569 to 991 of the family's 1831-position model. Lineage: Eukaryota; Fungi; Glomeromycota; Glomeromycetes; Glomerales; Glomeraceae. The record is from RNAcentral.
AGCAGCCGCGGUAACUCCAGCUCCAAUAGCGUAUAUUAAAGUUGUUGCAGUUAAAAAGCUCGUAGUUGAAUUUCGGGGUUAGUAGAUCGGUCGUGCCACUGGUAUGUACUGGUCUCACUGAUUCCUCCUUCCUGAUGAACCGUAAUGCCAUUAAUUUGGUGUUGCGGGGAGACUGGACUGUUACUUUGAAAAAUUAGAGUGUUUAAAGCAGGCUAACGCUUGAAUACAUUAGCAUGGAAUAACGGAAUAGGACGUUCGAUCUUAUUUUGUUGGUUUCUAAGAUUGACGUAAUGAUUAAUAGGGAUAGUUGGGGGCAUUAGUAUUCAAUUGUCAGAGGUGAAAUUCUUGGAUUUAUUGAAGACUAACUACUGCGAAAGCAUUUGCCAAGGAUGUUUUCAUUAAUCAAGAACGAAAGUU